CUGCAGCUCAAGUGGUGAUCAUUAUUAUUGGGCCUAAAACGUCCGUAGCCUGUUUAGUAAAUGCCUGGGUAAAUCGUGUAGCUUAACUAUACGACUUCCGGGUAGACUGCUAAACUUGAGACCGGGAGAGGCUAGAGGUACUCCUGGGGUAGAGGUGAAAUUCUGUAAUCCUAGGGGGACCACCAGUGGCGAAGGCGUCUAGCUAGAACGGGUCUGACGGUGAGGGACGAAGCCCUGGGGCACAAACCGGAUUAGAUACCCGAGUAGUCC
Molecule: ribosomal RNA, 270 nt
Filed under: uncultured archaeon
Lineage: Archaea
Description: partial 16S ribosomal RNA
Rfam family: Archaeal small subunit ribosomal RNA
Source: RNAcentral